RNAcentral lists this ribosomal RNA (253 nucleotides) under uncultured bacterium. Its description in RNAcentral is "partial 16S ribosomal RNA". It matches the Rfam family "Bacterial small subunit ribosomal RNA", at positions 524 to 776 of the family's 1533-position model. The record is from RNAcentral.
UACGUAGGGUGCAAGCGUUAAUCGGAAUUACUGGGCGUACAGCGUGCGCAGGCGGUUUUGUAAGUCUGACGUGAAAUCCCCGGGCUCAACCUGGGAAUUGCGUUGGAGACUGCAAGGCUAGAAUAUAGCAGAGGGGGGUAGAAUUCCACGUGUAGCAGUGAAAUGCGUAGAGAUGUGGAGGAACACCGAUGGCGAAGGCAGCCCCCUGGGUCAAGAUUGACGCUGAUGCACGAAAGCGUGGGGAGCAAACAGG